UUACGACCAUAUCACGUUAAAACGCCGGUUUCCGUACAAUCCCCGAAGUUAAGCAAGAGUCGAGCCUGGUCCGUACCUAGAUUGGGUGACCGCGUGGGAAUUCCAGGUGCUGUAAG
Non-coding RNA from Acanthosepion pharaonis, 116 nucleotides. Lineage: Eukaryota; Metazoa; Mollusca; Cephalopoda; Sepiida; Sepiidae. The record is from the annotation of a GenBank genome assembly.